GAUAAACGCUGGCGGCGCACAUAAGACAUGCAAGUCGAACGGACUUAACCGUUAGUUUACUAAUGGAGCGGUUAGUGGCGGACUGGUGAGUAACGCGUAAGCAACCUGCCUAUCAGAGGGGAACAACAGUUAGAAAUGACUGCUAAUACCGCAUAUGCCUUAGCAACACAUGUUGCAAAAGGGAAAGGAGCAAUCCACUGAUAGAUGGGCUUGCGUCUGAUUAGAUAGUUGGUGGGGUAACGGCCUACCAAGUCGACGAUCAGUAGCCGGACUGAGAGGUUGAACGGCCACAUUGGGACUGAGAUACGGCCCAGACUCCUACGGGAGGCAGCAGUCGGGAAUAUUGCGCAAUGGAGGAAACUCUGACGCAGUGACGCCGCGUGCAGGAAGAAGGUUUUCGGAUUGUAAACUGCUUUAGACAGGGAAGAAUAAAGACAGUACCUGUAGAAUAAGCUCCGGCUAACUACGUGCCAGCCGCCGCGGUAA
Molecule: ribosomal RNA, 486 nt
Filed under: uncultured bacterium
Lineage: Bacteria
Description: partial 16S ribosomal RNA
Rfam family: Bacterial small subunit ribosomal RNA
Source: RNAcentral